RNAcentral lists this ribosomal RNA (253 nucleotides) under uncultured bacterium. RNAcentral describes it as "partial 16S ribosomal RNA". It matches the Rfam family "Bacterial small subunit ribosomal RNA", at positions 524 to 776 of the family's 1533-position model. The record is from RNAcentral.
UACAGAGGGUGCGAGCGUUACUCGGAAUUACUGGGCGUAAAGCGCACGUAGGCGGCUUGGUAUGUCGGGUGUGAAAUCCCCGGGCUCAACCUGGGAACUGCAUCCGAAACUGCCUUGCUAGAGUAUGGGAGAGGGAAGUGGAAUUUCCGGUGUAGCGGUGAAAUGCGUAGAUAUCGGAAGGAACAUCAGUGGCGAAGGCGACUUCCUGGACCAAUACUGACGCUCAUGCACGAAAGCGUGGGGAGCAAACAGG